ACUCCUACGGGAGGCAGCAGUGGGGAAUAUUGCACAAUGGGGAAGCCCUGAUGCAGCCAUGCCGCGUGUGUGAAGAAGGCCUCGGUUGUAAGCACUUUCAGUAGGGAGGAAGGUAGUGUAGUUAACACCUGCACUAUUUGACGUUACCUACAGAAGAAGCACCGGCUAACUCCGUGCCAGCAGCCGCGGUAAUACGGAGGGUGCGAGCGUUAAUCGGAAUUACUGGGCGUAAAGCGCAUGCAGGCGGCCUGUUAAGUCAGAUGUGAAAGCCCGGGGGCUUAACCUCGGAAUUGCAUUUGAAACUGGCAGGCUAGAGUCUUGUAGAGGGGGUAGAAUUUCAGGUGUAGCGGUGAAAUGCGUAGAGAUCUGAAGGAUACCAGUGGCGAAGGCGGCCCCUGGACAAAGACUGACGCUCAGAUGCGAAAGCGUGGGGAGCAAACAGGAUUAGAUACCCUGGUAGCACAGAG
RNAcentral lists this ribosomal RNA (467 nucleotides) under uncultured bacterium. RNAcentral's name for it is "bacterial SSU rRNA". It matches the Rfam family "Bacterial small subunit ribosomal RNA", at positions 335 to 799 of the family's 1533-position model. The record is from RNAcentral.